Molecule: non-coding RNA, 49 nt
Filed under: Trypanosoma brucei brucei
Lineage: Eukaryota; Euglenozoa; Kinetoplastea; Trypanosomatida; Trypanosomatidae
Source: RNAcentral
AAAUUAACAAAUAGACUACUAAUGGGUGAGUAAGAUGUAUUAAUUAAUU